This 761-nucleotide ribosomal RNA is filed under the name uncultured Acidovorax sp. Its description in RNAcentral is "bacterial SSU rRNA". It matches the Rfam family "Bacterial small subunit ribosomal RNA", at positions 1 to 763 of the family's 1533-position model. Lineage: Bacteria; Pseudomonadati; Pseudomonadota; Betaproteobacteria; Burkholderiales; Comamonadaceae. The record is from RNAcentral.
UAGAGUUUGAUCCUGGCUCAGAUUGAACGCUGGCGGAAUGCUUUACACAUGCAAGUCGAACGAUGAACCCUAGCUUGCUAGGGGGAUUAGUGGCGAACGGGUGAGUAAUAUAUCGGAACGUGCCUUGUAAUGGGGGAUAACUAGUCGAAAGAUUAGCUAAUACCGCAUACGCCCUGAGGGGGAAAGUAGGGGAUCUUCGGACCUUACGUUAUAAGAGCGGCCGAUAUCUGAUUAGCUAGUUGGUGGGGUAAUGGCCUACCAAGGCAUCGAUCAGUAGCUGGUCUGAGAGGACGACCAGCCACACUGGAACUGAGACACGGUCCAGACUCCUACGGGAGGCAGCAGUGGGGAAUUUUGGACAAUGGGCGCAAGCCUGAUCCAGCCAUUCCGCGUGAGUGAAGAAGGCCUUCGGGUUGUAAAGCUCUUUCGCAAGGGAAGAAAACUUACAUUCUAAUAAAGUGUGAGGCUGACGGUACCUUGAUAAGAAGCACCGGCUAACUACGUGCCAGCAGCCGCGGUAAUACGUAGGGUGCGAGCGUUAAUCGGAAUUACUGGGCGUAAAGCGUGCGCAGGCGGUUUGGCAAGUCAGAUGUGAAAUCCCCGAGCUCAACUUGGGAACUGCGUUUGAAACUGCCAGACUAGAAUAUGUCAGAGGGGGGUAGAAUUCCACGUGUAGCAGUGAAAUGCGUAGAGAUGUGGAGGAAUACCAAUGGCGAAGGCAGCCCCCUGGGAUAAUAUUGACGCUCAUGCACGAAAGCGUG